CAGACAAUUGUAGCCACUCCCGAGCUACAGAUUUCACCAUUCAUACAGUGGUCCUCGAACAAAUGGACUUUGAUUGAGACUUUGGAUGCUGAGAUCAAACAUCUUACCAUCAGAUAACACUGAAAUCUAAAAAAAAAAUCCUCUGCAAAAACUGGGACCAGCAAGUACAACACUGCAGCUGUUCCUCGCUUUGUUCUGGAAGGCCUGGAUGUGGAUAAGAGAUGAGAGAGAUGCAGACCGGGCGGAAUAAAGAGAAGGAGAACCAAGGGAGGAAAUGAGGGUGUGAAAGAGGAGCGGACUGAUGAGAUUAUCAAGCAGAAUGGAGGAAUCUGUGUUGUUGACUCACUGCAUAAAUGACUGCUUAUUCGGGGCCGGGUUGCGGGGGCAACAGGCCAAGCAAAGCACCCCAGACGUCCCUCUCCCCAGCAACGCUUUCUAGCUCCUUCUGGAGGGCCUCCUGGUGUUCCCAGGCCAGAUGAGAUAUGUAAUCCCUCCAGCAUGAUCUGGAUCUGCCCUGGGGCCUCCUACCAGUAGGACGUGCCUGACCCACCUUCAGCGGGGAAGCCCAGGAGGCAUCCUGAUCAGAUGUCCGAACCACUUCAACUGACCCCUUUCAACACAAAGGAGCAGCGGCUCUACUCUGAGCUCCCUCCAGAUGUACGAGUUCCCCACCUGUUCUAAGGCUGAGCCCAGA
This is a long non-coding RNA of Epinephelus fuscoguttatus (brown-marbled grouper), 694 nucleotides long. RefSeq lists it as uncharacterized. The transcript has 3 exons. NCBI's taxonomy places the organism in Eukaryota, Metazoa, Chordata, Actinopteri, Perciformes, Serranidae. The record is from RefSeq and is a predicted model, not a curated record.